CAGCUCCUUAGUGAAUCUGCUCGACAAGCAGCUUCACCAGCUCCCCACGUCAAAGAUGAUGAAGAUCAGCAAGAGCGCCCCCAACCUCCUGAAGAAGGCCGUGACGUCGUUCAAGUGCAAGACGGAUGCUCUAAGGACCAAGCUCAUCAUCCUGGCCUCGCUGCGCCGCAGGAUGGCGAUGGUCCGCGCAGUGUCCCGCCAGAUCCACGCGCUCGCCGCGUCGGGUGGCCGGGAUAAUAAGCAGGCCGCGGUGGGGCACGGCGGCAAGGCUCUCGCUCCGCGCAAGGCGGCGGCGGCGGCGGCGGCGGGCAAAGAGGCAGCUGGUGACCAUGGCGGCGAGGCUCGUCGUCUUGGUCUGUUUGAGGUGGCAGUGUUUGAGGAAGAUUAUCAUGGUGGCUACCCUGACUGGACCACCUCCCUAUUCGACGAUGACAAUAUCUACAACGAUGAGGAGGAGGAUGUCGUCCAAGACGACGAGCAGGAUGACCUUGAUCUUGAUGCGUUCGACGAGACCUCGGUCAUCGAGAUCCUCAGGAGCAACCGGGAGGCUCAAGGGCUGGAGUUCAGCAUGGAAGAUGACAUUGACGAGGCCUGCGAUAUGUUCAUCAGGAGAUGUCGCAGCCGGAUGAACCUUAGUUUCUAGUGAUCUCGCGGUUUUUGUAGUUUAUUUACGUGAAUGAUGUAAGGAUGAAGAGACUAGUACUACUGACGAGUUGAGAGACAAUAGAAGAAGGUGGGUGAGAUACUAAGAUUUUGGUAGCACGCAUGCAGCUAGGGACUGGAGGGCAUGAAGAACUUAUUUUGAUGGAAGCGUAAUACUAAGAUCACUUCAUGUGGUGCGGCGAAGUGUCCUGCACAUUGCUUGACAGAUGCACUGCAUGAUAAUGUUGCAAAAUAUAUAACGGCAUUGUUGCGACCUAACAUGGCUACAGCCGGCGAAGAGGGUGCAUGCACGCAAGACAGUUUGGUCCGCGAGCCCGCCCACGCCCUGCUCGAUCUCUCAUGUUACGUACACCGUCCGCUGGCCUCGGCAGCGCCCGGCCGGCGCGGCGCCGCAGCAAGCGGGCCGGCGCGCGCGCGGCCGCCCGCCGCCCGCCUUGCGCCGCGCUCCGACGCGAGACCAGUGGAUUUUGGGAGCGAGCGAGCGACGACAAGUGUCCACGUCCGGGCGAUCCUAUCCUACCCUCUCCGUGCCAAGAACACAGUAGCAAGCAAAGGCGAUUUCUCGGUGGCAGCUCGAACACGACUACAUGAGGUUGAAAAUUUGGACGCGCCAAAAAUAGUGAAGGAUAUCAAUUGUGUUACCAGAAAGCUACCCUCACUAAACCCCAUUUCGGGCAGGUUUAGGAUUUUAGAUACAAAUAUACCUUUUUUUGUCGAUGUGUCACGCUGACCUGGCUCGACAAUUAUUAGCAUAAGCUUUUGUGCAUAACGGUCACAAACAUACCAACAUUUCAAAUGUUUGCAUAAGUAGUGUCAUGGUGAUUGAAGAACUUUUUUUGGGGGUGUGGGGGAUCAUUCGGCGAGCUGUAUUGAUCGGAUAAAAUAUUUACAUCGUUCACUAAUACAUUUAAAGUGAAAUAAACUAGUCGUUCAUCGACCCAAAUACAUGAAAAUUUCAAGAAAAAAGCUUUCCUAGCAAACUCAUGAGCUACCUGAUUAGCCUCACUAUUACAAUGCUCAAUAGAUAUGCUGUCGAAUCCGCUUCAGAAGGUAAUACAACCCUCGUAAAUCGCCUCGUCCUCGUUGUCGAGAAUCCACCAUCUAUGAUUGCCUCCACGACCAGCAUGGAGUCGGUCUGAACAAUAAACUGAUUGCAUCCUAUAUGUUGCACCAACAUCAAUCCUUCUCUAAGUAAGCUUAACUAAGCUUAAAUUCUACAUUCCGAAGGGGAGCUGGGAGGGCUUAGGCCCCCACCCCUCGUACUAUAUGCGCAAAGCAUGUGUAUAUACAAUUUUCACCAUAUAAAUUUCUGAAAAAUUUAAUCUUAACCCUUCUAUUAUAAACUGUCCCCCUCUCAUGCCUCUUGGAUGUUUUCUUGCUCCUUCCUGUACACUCCGCGGUGCCAAAAAGGAAACUGCAAAUAUCUUCUGACUUCUCCAUGGCCAUGAAACCCACGCUUCACGCUCCCUUGGGUCACUCCGUGGCCGCCUGGCUGCCUUACAUAUUGUACUAGUCCCCUGUCUCUUCUUUCCGGCCAAUAAUGGAGUUCUCCACCAGAGACCAUCCGGCCAUAUUUUUUCGUUUUCUCGUCGAGCCAUGAUUGGUCACGAACAACAACAACAACAACUGAAAGCCACACCGUGUUGCGUUUCAGUUGCCACAGCUCGCGCACGGGGAGCACGUGCGGUUCUAGACGCAGCUCCCAUUUUGCCACUCCACAGCAGCGCACGCGCAUGGGCAGGGCGCGAAGCAACGGCGUCGGCGUGACCGGCGAUGCCAUGGGGGAAAAAUGGACGAAAUCGCGCGAUCUCCUUUUCGUGCUGACAAGCGGCAGAGAAGCGAUCGCGCCCACAGAGAGAAAAAAAGCAAGCUCCGGUAGGACACAGUAGAGAGAAAGCACGGCACUGCAAUGCAAAUCGUGGCAGAAAGCAAGCACCGGAAAGCCGAGGGCACUGCAUGCGGCGGCGAGCGCCAAGCGAGAUCACGAUUGGCUACCCCGCCUGGAGCCCCACGCUGGGCGUGGCCGCAUGAACCACACGGAAGCGGACGAGGAAAGCGUUGGAGAUCCAGGAGGAGAAGAGAUGGUGGAGCGGGCAUCACCGGCAACGAAGACGACGGGGAAAUCCGGAGAAGCCAAUCUUCACGCUAGGACAGGUGUCGUUCUCCACCUAGUUGGGAUUUCUUUUACCAUAUCAUUUUUUCUCCCACUUUGCUACGACCAUUCCCUUGCCACAACUUUUUAGUAGUUUCGCUUCCGCUCUCAAAGUUCGGUUCCUGCUUGUGGUGCUUGCUCCACAUGCCUAUUCUUUUUAUUUCUUCAACUGUUUCUUUCAUGCUUUGAGCCUGAGGUACUACUAAAGAUUUUCACAUUUUUAAAAGAAUUGUUAUCCUCAAAUUUUUCUUUCAUGCUUUGAUGCACCUCAAAGAUUUCCAUUUUUUUAAAGAAAAAGCUACCCAAAGCUUGAUCUUGACAUGCGCACAGGGAAGAAAAAGUUGCAAGGGCGCACUAACCGGUUCAUGGCAAGGUUAGCUUUACCCUGGCUAUAAGUACCCUCGUGGGGCUUCAAUAAUGCAAGGCCCAUGCCUCUCAAACCUACAAGCUAGCUACCUCAUUUCACGAGCUCUCUGACAACUCACUCAUGCCAGGCUUGGAGCACAAGAACUCCUUCGUGAACCUUCUUGACAAGCAGCUCCACAAGCUCUCCACGUCAAAGAUGAGGAUCAGCAAGAGCGCCCCCAACCUCCUGAAGAAGGCGGCGACGUCGGUCAAGAGCAAGACUGACGCUCUGAGAACGAAGCUCGUCUUCGUGGCCUCGCUGCGCCGAAGGCUGGCGAUGGUCUGCGCGAUGUCUCGGCAGAUCCACGCGCUCUCCAAGUUGAACGGCCAGGCGGAGAAGCAGGCCAGGGUGGAGCACGGCAGCAAGGCUCUCAUCACGACGCACAAGGCGGCGACGGCGGCGGGCGAGGAGCCAGCUGCUGGUGACCACGGCGGCAGGGCUCCUCUUGGCAUGUUUGAGGUGGCGGUGUUUGAGGAAGCUUACCAUGGCUACCCUGACUGGACCAGUUCAUUUUUUGAUGAUGACCAUUGUUACAACGAUGAGGAGGAUGGCGGCCAUGACGACGACGACGACCGCGAGGAGCUUGACGUUGUUGAUGCGCUCGAUGGGCCCUCGGUCAUCGAGAUCAUCAAGAGCAACAGGGAGGCUCAAGGUCUCGAGUUCAACAUGGACGACGAGAUUGACGAGGCUUGCGACAUGUUCAUCAGGAGAUGUCGCAGCCAGAUGAACCUUAGCCUCUACUGAUCUUGUAUACUAGUUUAUUAUCUGUAGUUUACGUGAAUGUUAUGAGGACGUUGAACUAUAAAGAGACUAGGACUGACAAACUGAGCGACGGUACGGCAGAGAAGUGGGGGGGUGAGGUACUAAGACAUGGUAGAAACUACAAGAAGGCAUGAGUGAACUUGUUUGGUGAACGCAUAAGAAUCACUUAUUUUGCAUUGUGACAUGACAAAGUUUUUGUGCAGAUAGACUGCUUCAUCAUAUAUAUGCCUGAAUCUAACUGAAGCCGACAAAGUGGCAUGUCAUUGGCCUUCCGCUCCUUAUUACAAAAC
This 4273-nucleotide long non-coding RNA is filed under the name Panicum hallii. RNAcentral describes it as "long non-coding RNA (PHAL_LNC000197)". The record is from RNAcentral. Lineage: Eukaryota; Viridiplantae; Streptophyta; Magnoliopsida; Poales; Poaceae.